This is a microRNA precursor of Medicago truncatula (barrel medic), 168 nucleotides long. It matches the Rfam family "MIR2680 microRNA precursor family". NCBI's taxonomy places the organism in Eukaryota, Viridiplantae, Streptophyta, Magnoliopsida, Fabales, Fabaceae. The record is from Rfam.
AUAGGAUCUAGACCUGGCAUAUCUUCAUACGACCAUGCAAAAAUGUCCGGAUAUUCCCGGAGGAGUUGGAUGAUCUUCUUUUUAACCCAUUCCUCUAGAGCAGCACCGAUCUUGAUUUCUCGCUUGUUCUCCUCGGUACCUAUGUUGAUAAGCUCAAUCUCUUCCUGG